This 468-nucleotide ribosomal RNA is filed under the name uncultured bacterium. RNAcentral describes it as "partial 16S ribosomal RNA". It matches the Rfam family "Bacterial small subunit ribosomal RNA", at positions 28 to 507 of the family's 1533-position model. The record is from RNAcentral.
GACGAACGCUGGCGGCGUGCUUAACACAUGCAAGUCGAACGGAAAGGCCCUGCUUUUGUGGGGUGCUCGAGUGGCGAACGGGUGAGUAACACGUGAGUAACCUGCCCUUGACUUUGGGAUAACUUCAGGAAACUGGGGCUAAUACCGGAUAGGAGCUCCUGCUGCAUGGUGGGGGUUGGAAAGUUUCGGCGGUUGGGGAUGGACUCGCGGCUUAUCAGCUUGUUGGUGGGGUAGUGGCUUACCAAGGCUUUGACGGGUAGCCGGCCUGAGAGGGUGACCGGCCACAUUGGGCCUGCGAUACGGCCCAGACUCCUACGGGAGGCAGCAGUGGGGAAUAUUGCACAAUGGGCGGACGCCUGAUGCAGCAACGCCGCGUGCGGGAUGACGGCCUUCGGGUUGUAAACCGCUUUCGCCUGUGACGAAGCGUGAGUGACGGUAAUGGGUAAAGAAGCACCGGCUAACUACGUG